RNAcentral lists this ribosomal RNA (253 nucleotides) under uncultured bacterium. RNAcentral's name for it is "partial 16S ribosomal RNA". It matches the Rfam family "Bacterial small subunit ribosomal RNA", at positions 524 to 776 of the family's 1533-position model. The record is from RNAcentral.
UACGGAGGGUGCAAACGUUGCUCGGAAUCAUUGGGCGUAAAGCGCACGUAGGCGGCCUGUUAAGUCGGGUGUGAAAGCCCUGGGCUCAACCCAGGAAGUGCACUCGAAACUGGCGGGCUUGAAUAUGGAAGAGGGUCGCGGAAUUCCCGGUGUAGAGGUGAAAUUCGUAGAUAUCGUCUGGAACGCCAAAGGUGAAAACAGCUCGCUGGGGUUGUGCUGACGCUGAGACACGAAAGCCAGGGGAGCGAACGGG